CUAUUCCUUCUCCGAAGCCACUGCCACCACUAGAGCCAAUCCCUUCUCCGAAGCCACUGCCUCCACUAGAGCCUAUCCCUUCUCCAAAGCCACUGCCACCACUAGAGCCUAUUCCUUCUCCGAAGCCGCUGCCUCCACUGCCAUAACCAACGCCAUAGCCAUAUCCCAUAGGCUUAACUGUGUGAUCAGGCUUCUCUAUGCCAUCAAUCUUCUCUUUGUCUUUAAGCUUCUCUUUGUAAUCAGGCUUUACUUCAUGAUCAGGCUUCUCUAUGUCAUCAAUCUUCUCUUUGCCACCAUCAUUAAGCCUCUCUUUGUAAUUAGGCUUUACUAUAUGAUCAGGCUUCUCUAUGCCAUCAAUCUUCUCUUUGCCACCAUCAUUAAACCUCUCUUUGUAAUUGGGCUUUACUAUAUGAUCAGGCUUCUCUAUGUCAUCAAUGUUCUCUUUGUCACCAUCAUUAAGCUUCUCUUUGUAAUCAGGCUUUACUUUAUGAUCAGGCUUCUCUAUGCCAUCAAUCUUCUCUUUGCCACCAUCAUUAAACCUCUCUUUGUAAUUGGGCUUUACUAUAUGAUCAGGCUUCUCUAUGUCAUCAAUNN
Molecule: long non-coding RNA, 594 nt
Filed under: Brassica napus (rape)
Lineage: Eukaryota; Viridiplantae; Streptophyta; Magnoliopsida; Brassicales; Brassicaceae
Description: long non-coding RNA (BNAP_LNC016055)
Source: RNAcentral